AGCCUCCAGGGUCUGGCGCAGCUGAGGAAAUGCGCUCCUGGCCCGGGGCAGGCGGGGGCCGGGACACAGAGGCCCUUUCAGCCCCGGAAGGCUGCGGGCCCGGGCGGGGCGGGGCGGCACCCUCCAGGAGGACGCCCGGCCUUCUCCCCACUUCUGCCUGGGAGGCCCCUGGCCCGCCGGGCUUUGUCCUAUUUAUAAACGUGCUCCUGAGUAAACUCCCUGAAGAAAGGGGCCUCUGUGUGCGGCAGCCCGGCCCACAGCGCCGCCCUCAGCACACAGUAGGCGCUCAGCAUGGCCUUCUCAUGGGACUGAGGACAAGCACCGAUCCUUGGGAGCUGCCAGGCGCCUCCAGCACCCAGAACCCCUGACAUCGAGCGCCUGGACACCUGUUCCCGAAGCCCUGUGAGCUGAUGGGCUACGUAACCUCUGGGCCGCAAUGCUAGAAUAAAAUGCAUGGACACUUGUUCCAAAACGAUGGAGGGACGGUGUGGGAAACAGGCCCCAGCCCUGUCGACUGAGGGUGAAUGCACGAGUGAAAGUGACAAUACAUGGGUAAACUGAGGCAGGCGGCAUCAGCCGUAGAGGAGAGAGGAUGAGGUUCCAACCUGGGGUGUAAGAGAAACAAGAUGCUACAGGAGCAGAAGGGCCAUCAGCUGUGCUAAGAUAAAGCAGGGACCUAAAUUUGGGCCUGAGAGCUGGUCCAGGCCUGCCAGUGGCAGUGGCUCAAGACGUGGGGCGCUGUGACUGGGUCUCAGACCCAGUGAUGCCACCAACCCAGGCUUCUCCCAGGCUCCUCCCCCAGUAGCACUCUGUCACUACAGGGUGACAUCCAGGCCCUUCACGAUCUGUCUCCAGGGAGCCACCACCUCCCCCAGCCCAACAGGCCAAGCACUGACAUCCAAACCAACUGACUACCCAGGAGCCUGGGCAUGCUUUGUCCGUCUGGCCCAGGGAGGCAUCUGCCCAUCCCUGUGAAUAGCAGCGUCUCUCCUCAACAGUCAGUGACUGCCUUCUGACAGCCUGACCAGGGGGUCUGAGUGCGAGAGGCAUCUGGCAUCUCUGAAAAAGCAGCUCCAGCCUGGCUUCCAGGGCAGGGACUCUCCACUGCCAGAUCUGCAGACUCUCCACCACCAGGGCGCCUACUGCAGUUGGGAAAAGCCUCAGAUCUAUGUCCUCUCCUGUCUGGGUGGAGCAGGCACCAUGAUCCCUGUUUCAUGCACAAGGACAUUGAUGCGCAGGGACUACAGGACUUGUCCAAGGAUGCACCCGAGCCCACGUCCCACCUAGGUUCCCCAGUCUCUCCCAGACAAUCCCUCAGAAAACAGUCCUGGGCCCAGGAACCAGAGCUGCUGAGCAGGCCCAGCUACGUAAUUUGUGGAGCCCAGUGCAAAUUGAAAAUUUGAGACCCUUUGUUAAGAAAUUAUGAAGAGGCCAGGCACAAUGGCUCACAUCUGUAAUCCCAGCACUUUGGGAGGCCGAGGCAGGCAGAUCACUUGAGUCCUGGCGUUCAAGACCAGCCUGGCCAAUGUGUCGAAACCCUGUCUCUACUAAAAAUACAAAAAUUAGCCGGGCAUGGUGGCUGGUGCCUGUAAUCCCAGCUACUUGGGAGGCUGAGGCAGGGAGAAUUGCUUGAACCCAGGUGGCAGAAGUUGCAGUGAGUUGAGAUUGUGCCACUGCACUCCAGCUUGGGCGACAGAAGGAGACUCUGUCAAAAAAAGAAAAGAAAAAAAAAAUUAUGAAGAGGCUGGGCAUGGUGGCUUAUGCCUGUAAUCCCAGCACUUUGGGAGGCCGGGGUGGGUGGAUCACCUGAGGUCAGGAGUUCGAGACUAGCCUGGCCAACAUGGUGAAAUCCAGUCUCUACUAAAAAUACAAAAAUUAGCCAAGCAUGGUGGUGCAUGCCUGUAAUACCAGCUACUUGGAAGGCUGAGGCAGGAGAAUCGCUUUAACCCUAGACGCAGAGGUUGCAGUGAGCCAACAUCAUGCUACUGCACUCCAGCCUGGGCGACAGAGUGAGACUCUGUCUCAAAAAAAAAAAAAAAAUUAUGAAGGAUUUCAAGACAAUGUCAGAAGACCAUCAAACUAAGGAUGGGACCCAUGUGACUGCACAGGUCAUAUGCUCAUGAAGCUGGCCAGGAUGGCAAGUCCAGGACACCAAGCCAGGCUCUUUCCUGGGCACCGUGCACCUCUUCCCUUGCUCAAGGUCCAUCUGCUGGCCAGUUCCUGGGAUUUCUCUGACCCGCCCACUCCACACAGGCUGGACGUCCAGGGCGUCUUCAGAGAGGUCCACUAGAUAUUAGGGGACGCUGCCCAGUACUUUCCCAUCAAAGACCAAGACCACAGAACACUUCCAGAAACGCUUCCAGAAAUGCUCAAUCCUGCCAGCACUGGAAGUUUGCCUGCCUAUUUUCAGCUGAAGAACACUUGCUCUUGAAGAAAAUGUAGCAGGGCUGUCUACCUAAGGUGAAAUGUACCAGCUGACAGAUGAGAAUCUGACACUGAUCAACAUUAAAACAAUAUAUAAGAACAAAAGUCAAGGGCAUGUUUGUGGCCUCCUAGAGUCCACAUCAUGCCCAUGAUUUGUCUCACUCUGCCCUCGGAGAGCCAGAGGAGGGAACUUCUGCCUUGGCCCACCUGGGUUUGUCCCCACCCUGGAGUCAGGCCAUGUCCACUCCCCUUCCAGUCUCUGCUGGGGUCCCUGCAUGCCCUAUGCUCUCUUCCAGCUUGUCUGAAUCCUGCCCUCCAGUCUGAGUGCCACGUGGGGGGCAGCUUGCUGGGAUGCCCGAUGCCCCACAGAACUGCAGGGCUGCUGGCCUCAGACAAUAUGGCCCUCCGCUGUCAGAUCCCUCCAGAGAUGGCCUCAACUGGAAGAAAUGCCUCUCAAAAGCCCACAUCUCCCUUUCUUGGGUUCACUCAAUGACUGGCGAGCAGUGGCAUCCUGAUGAGUGACAAGGCAGGUGGAAAGAUCCAGCCCUCUUGCCUCAACUCAGGACAAUAAUACAAGACCCACCGGGCGCAGUGGCUCACGCCUGUAAUCCCAGCACUUUGGGAGGCCGAGGCGGGUGGGUCACCUGAGGUCAGGAGUUUGAGACCAGCCUGGCCAACAUGGUGAAACCCCAUCUCUACUAAAAAUACAAAAAUUAGCUGGGCGUGGUGGUGUGUGCCUGUAAUCCCAGCUACUUGGGAGGCUGAGGCAGGAGAAUUGCUUGAACCCAGGAGGCAGAGGUUGUAGUGAGCCGAGACUGUGCCACUGCACUCCAGCCUGGGUGACAGAGUGAGACACUGUCUCAAAUUAAAAAAUAAUAAUAAUAAUAAUAAUAAAGAGUAAUACAAGACCAUCCCUGCUCCAGAGCUCCCCUUGGGGUCAGCAGGGCCUUCCAAGUUCUCCCUCUGCCCCUCCUGUGCCUUCCCCCGGAGAUGCUGACCCCAGGAGCACUCCCUGAUGAACCUCCUGCCUGGCAGUCUCCCUCUCAGAGCUGGCUUUCUAGGAAAGCUGACCUGCCUCCACGAAGCCACGUCUCUCCUACCUGGGGCACCUGUGGGCGCCUCCCACCUCUUCAAAUGCCCUGUAACAGUCAUCCAUUCAGCAGAUCCUCACUGAAGGCCUACUAUGCACCAGAUGCUGUUCUGGGUGCUGACGGUAAAGCAAAAUGAAGCAGACACCCCUGCCCUCAUGGAGCUCAGGCCUGCAGAUGAGCAGGCAAAAAGCAACCAAAAAUUUAAUGUGAUGACGUUAAACAUCAUACCACAGAAUGAUACAACAGAGAAUCUGAUUGUGGCUGGGGGCACCUGCUUUAGAACAAACUUCCUCUGGGUCAAGAAGGGUCUCUCUGAGGAGCCACGUCUGAAUCAGAGGCCAGUUCCUCGAUAAGUUGAAAGAUGAACAUUAACCAGGCAAGUUCAAAGGCUCUUGGAUGGGAAGGAAAUUGAGGUGUUGGAUUCAAGGGAACAAAAGUGAAGCUGAUGACGGGAGAUGAGGUGAGAUGUAGGACCAGAGGGCCGGGGAGGUUGCCUCAUGCUUGUAAUCCCAGCACUUUGGGAAGCCAAGGAGGGCAGAUCACUUGAGGUCAGGAGUUUGAGACUAGCCUGGCCAACAUGGUGAAACCUCAUCUCUACUAAAAAUACAAAAAAAAAAUUUAGCCAGGCAUGGUGGCGUGUGCCUGUAGUCCCAGCUACUUGGGAGGCUGAGUCAUGAGAAUCACUUGAACCUGGAAGGCAGAAGUUAGAGUGGUCCGAGAUCAUGCCCCUGGGUGACACAGUGAGACUGUCUCAAAAAAAAGAAAAAAAGAAAAAAAGAAGCAGGACCAGAGGAUGCAGGGCCUUGAGGAAGAAUCUAGAAGAAUCUAGCUUUUAUUGUCAGUGAGGUGGGAGCGUCAGAUGGUUCUAAGCAGGGCAGUCAUGGAAUCUUUUUUUUUUUUUUUCUUUUUGAGACAGAGUUUCGUACUUGUUGCCCAGGCUGGAGUGCAAUGGCACAACCUCAGCUCACUGCAACCUCCGCCUCCUGAUUCAAGCGAUUCUCCUGCCUCAGCCUCCCGAGUAGCUGGGAUUACAGGCAUACGCCACCAUGCCCGGCUAAUUUGUAUUUUUAGUAGAGAUGGGUUUUCUCCAUGUUGGUCAGGCUGGUCUCAAACUCUCAACCUCAGGUGAUCCACCCGCCUCGGCCUCCCAAAGUGCUGGGAUUACAGGUGUGAGCCACCGCGCCCAGCAUGGAAUCUUUACCUGUUUCAAGCCAUCACUGGCGGUCAGACAGAAAAUGAAUUCAUCACAUGAAAUACCUGCUGUUCGGCACAUGAGCAUUUCUGGAAGUAUUUCUGGAAGUGUUCUAUGGAAUGGGUGUAAGGUUUUGGGUUUUGUUUUGUUUUUUUUCCCAUUAGUUUUUUUUUGUUUUGGGGAUGUUUUUAGAGAUUGGGUCUCAUGUUGCCCAGGCUGGACUCAAACUCCUGGGUUCAGAUGAUUCUCCCACCUCAGCCUCCCGAGUAGCUGGGACUACAGGUACGCACCACUGCACGUGGCUGAACAUUAGCUUUAACCUGCAUUUGUGCAAUAUCCUGUCUGCUGUUUAGGAGCUGGAGUCCAGCACUUGGACUUGUUUGGAUCCCCAACUGCCUUGCUCUGAGUAGGUAUUCAAUGAACAUUUGAUGAGUUGAUGCUUCUGUUUUAGCUAUGAUCUUCUGGGUUUGUUUUGUUUUGUUUUGUUUUUACACAGAAUGUUGUCCAGGCUUGAGUGCAGUAGCACAACCUCGGCUCACUACAACCUCUUCGUCCCGAGUUCAAGUGAUUCUCCUGCCUCAGCCUCCCGAGUAGCUGGGGCUACAGGUGCCCGCCACCAUGCUGGGCUAAGUUUUUUGUAUGUUUAGUAGAGACAGGCCUUCACCAUGUUGGCCAGGCUGGUCUGGAACUCCUGACCUCAAGUGAUCUGCCCACCUCAGCCUCCCAAAGCGCUGAGAUUACAGGCGUGACCCACCUUGCUAGGCCUGAUCUUCUGGUUUUGCUUCUCAAAGUGUGGUCCUCAGACCAGUAUCCGCACCAGCUGGGAGCUUGUAGGAAAUGGAGAAUCCUAGGCCCCACCCAGGCCUACUAAAUCAGAAUCUGCCAUUUAACAAGAUCCCCAAGAAAUCCUAAUGAAUGGUAAAGUUUAAGAAGCACUUCUAGAGGGCAGAAUAACUCAAGGGCCUCCGAAAAACCCGUAACAGACAGCAGGAAGUGGGCAGGGGUUAAAAGAGAGGCAGCCCUUAAGCCCAGCUGGGAUGGAAGAAGAUUUUGAUUGGAGGUAAGAGAAGGUACAUUCCAGGCUAAGACAAGGCUGGGAAGGAGGAGGCAAGUGUGAGGGUGGAGGGCCAGUGGUCUGAAGCAGCCAGCCCCAGGGGCCAGCAAAAUGAGGAGGUAGAAAUUCCCAGAAAGGCAGGAGACACCAGUUGCAGUGGCUCACGCCUGUAAUCCCAACACUUUGGGAGGCCGAAGCGGGUGGAUCACCUGAGGUCAGGAGUUGGAGACCAGCCUGGCCAACAUGGUGAAACCCAGUCUCUACUAAAAUACAAAAAUUAGCUGGGCAUGGUGGCAGGCACCUGUAAUCCCAGCUACUGGGGAGGCUGAAGCAGAAGAAUUGAUUGAACCCGGGAGGCGGAGCUUGCAGUGAGCUGAAAUUGCACCACUGCACUCCAGCCUGGGAGACAGGGCAAGACUCAGUCUCAAAAAAAAAAAAAAAAAAAGGCAGGAGAAAGCUCUCUCAGAGAGCAGCCCCUCAGAUGGCCAAACAAGACUGGGGAGUUAGGUGGUGUGAGGCUGAAUUCUGGCUCUGCCUCCCCCUAGCUGAGUGACCUUGGGCAAGUUAUCAUACUUAACUCUCUGAGCCUCUACAAAGUGGGGAUAAUAAUAGAUGUGCCAGCUGUUGGGGGGGCAGGAAGAUUAAAUGAGAUAACACAUAUAAAACGCUUGGUACAGGAGAAAGGUGGGGAGCGCUCAGUAAAUGGUAACUGUGAUGACGAAUAAAGUGCGGGCUGGAUUGGGAAGGCCAGGAGGGGGCACUGAAGGCUUUUGAGACGGGGAGUACUGCAGCCUGUGUUUUAGGGAGAUAAAUCCAGCGGGUGCACCAGAGACAAGGACAGGGGCAUGGCCAGAGGCUGCGGGCAGAUGGGAGGUUGGUGUAAUAGGGGCAAGACAUUGAGAGGUGCCUUGGAGCUCAGAGAGGGGGAAGCAGCUGCCCUGGGGCAGAGAGAGGCUGGGGCAGGAUGGCUCUGGGCUUCUAGGCUAGGAGGUGGGCUGAGGGCAGGCAGGCUCUGGGAGAGACGUGCUGUGGGAAGUGUCUGGCUGGGGUGGGGUGGAGAGGGGGGCUUCAGGGGACAGCAGAGAGGGGAGGUCUGAGGCAUGGGGAGGAUCAGGACCAGAGUCAGAGAGAAAACUUUCAGCCACAGGGGUUUAUGGAUGCCUCAGGAUAGGUGAGGCUGCUCCCAAGAAGGAGGUCCUGAGGGAGCAGGAGGUGAGCUCAGCUGCACACAGAGGACUCAGUUGGGGAGACUCCCUCAAAAGUGGCAGCCACCCUGAGUCACUAAGUCUGUGACUCACCUCUGGCAGAGAGGAGGCAGGACAAGUAACAAAGCUGGUGCUUCCUGGGAUGUUAUCUGUGGGCCAGUCCCUGGUUUGCAAAUCCCUUCCGUGCAUGAACUUAUCUAAAGCCCUAUGAGGUGGAGCUAGUACCGGCACUAUCCCAUACUGCAGAUGGAGAAAUUGAGGCCCUGUGCGGUGGGGGUUAUUCCAGACUCUUCGGCCAGGACACAGGCAUUUGGCUAAACCUAGUGUUUGUGGCAGGGUCUGUUCUGAUUGGCCGAUGCCUGUCCUACUGGUUAGUCAAUGUUUUGAAGGUCACCCUGGUUACACAGCUGGAGGAGGCAGAAUCCCAACUAACCCCUGGGGCUGGAGCCCUGGUCUGAACCAGGAUCCUCUCUCCGUCUAGCGCCGCAGCGCACCUCAGGACAAGUAAUGUGCGUCGAAGGGCUUUGGAAACUGCAAGGCACAGUAUAAAUAACAGGUUCCUUCAUUCCUCCUGGGCAGGAACUUUGGCCUCAACAGUUCCUUCUUUGUUGAGGCCAAAGAAGCUGGGCCAUGAGAAGGCAGAGGAAACGCUGCUGUGGGGAACCAGCAUUCUCUCUGCUUACUCAACGGGGAAAGUGAGUCAGAAGGGAAGCCUCCCUGAGUGGAGCCCCAUGGUCAGCCCCUGGGAGGUUCUCACGUGCCAGACGCCAUCCGGCACUAACCAGGUUAGCCUGGACUUGUCCCCAGGGCCCGUCCAGGCUCUCCUGCAACUGGCCACCAGGGGGCGCCGCUCCCCCAGCCUUCCUCUUACUGAACCUACCCCCCACCACCCCCCCAACAACCUGCUCGCGAGAAACCAGGCCUUGGAAGGAGUCCCGGGGAGCAGGCACCAGAGACUUUGAAAAGUGGCAAAAACGCGGGAGAUGCUGAGUGGAGGUGGGAGUUCGUCCCUGCCCCACUGGGAGGGAGAAGGGAAGGGGGGACGGAAACCUACAUAUACCCAUUUUCAAUUCCCAAACCAGCCCUGUGGAGGAGUGCCUGCUCCCAUUUUACAGAUGAGGAAUUUGAGGCCCAAAGAUGUUGGGUAAGAUCAAGAGGCUAGGGACAGGCAGCGCUGCGUCAUUUGCUUCCAAGGUCAGUUCCUAAUGGGACCACAAGCAAAUGCUAGCUCAUUUGGCCCUGUUGCCUAGCGGGGUCUCCCCCCCCGCCCCCCGUUGAUCCUAUGUUCUGAGUCGUGGCCAACACCACAACCUAUUCCCCCACUGUGUUCCAGCAACAAUUCCAGCUGCCCCUUCUCCAACCUGAACUUUCUGGAAGCCUGGGCACCUGCUUCAUUGUUUUCCAGGGACCCCCAUCAGCCACCCAUCCCACACCCUCCCCAUCUGGGCAGAGCCGGGAGCCCCCUCUGCAGCCCUGUCCUGCUUGACAUCCCUUCCCCACCCCAGGGACCCCGCGGGGUCAGGCUUUGCUCCUCGACACCCCACGGUAGGCAGCAGCACGAAUAAACAAUGGGACAUUUGAACCAGGAAGAGCCUGUGGUUGAGGCCAAAACAGGCACCAAGGUUUUCUCUCAGCUCCUACCAACUCCUUUUAUGGCCUCUGGGCCCAGUUCCUUCUUCAUAAAAAGUCAGAACUGGAAAAGGCCUCGAGUCACUGGGUCCAACCUGAGCCAACACUUUCCUUUUCUAUAGAAAAAACCCGUCGUGCUGCCUCCCCGGCUCCAGCCAGGUUUACAGCACCAGGAUCUGGGCCGGCAGCGUCCUUCACCGGAGGGAAAUUCUAACCCUGGGGCGGGACCUGGGCACGUCCGCCGGGGAGGCCCAGUCCCUGCACCUGUAAAAUGGGGGGCGGGCCUAACCGUAGCUUCUUCAAAGGCCCCCCGCCCCCAGCUUGAGGUUCUGUAUCUAGCCCCAGGGACCCGCCCUAACGAACAUCUAUUUCGGCCCCCUCUGUCCAACCGUUUCCUUCCCUCUGCCCUGAGAGCUGUAGGCAGCUCGCGUGUGUGGGCGCACGUGCGUGCAAGUGAUCAUGUGUGUGCAGGAGCCGGUGGCGGCCAGACGCAACUCGGCACAGGCGUCCGCGCCUGGCUCUGUGCGCGCCCCCGAGAUGCCGGCCUCCCCUAGUCAACCAGGUGGCCGUGUGCAGCCCCGGGUGUGCUC
This 9185-nucleotide long non-coding RNA is filed under the name Homo sapiens (human). Its description in RNAcentral is "HSALNT0309485". The stretch from base 3141 to 3288 matches the Rfam family "Metazoan signal recognition particle RNA". The record is from RNAcentral. Lineage: Eukaryota; Metazoa; Chordata; Mammalia; Primates; Hominidae.